GGAGUUUUAGACACACAGACUGGAAUUGAACUAACGGAAGGGCACCCCGGGAAAACUGUGGGGCGAGACAAGGAGGAUGGGGGGACCAGCCGUCGCCCUGCUCUCGUGUUUAUCAUCACAGCCUCUUUGAGGUGUAAAUGACACGCAAUAAGCUGUGCAUGUUCAAUAGUGUGUUUAUUGCCGGCUUUCCUGAGUACACCCAGCCAAUGAUAGACCACCUGGUUACCCUGAAGAUCAACCACUGGGAUGGGGUCAUCCGAGAGCUGGCUGCGAAGGCGCUGCACAACCUGGCCCAGCAAGCACCCGAGUUCAGCGCCACGCAAGUUCUCCCGAGGCUGCUGUCCAUGACACUGAGUCCAGAUCUACACACGAGGCAUGGGUCGAUUCUCGCCUGCGCGGAAGUUGCCUACGCCUUGUACAAACUUGCAGCCCGAGAGAACAGGCCCGUCACGGACCAUCUGGACGAGCAGGCAGUGCAGGGCCUGAAGCAGAUUCACCAGCAGCCGUGCAUCUGCAGCUGGGGUCUGAUGUCUCCUGAAAGUAAAGCAGAAUUUUGUGUGUGCGUCUCUCGGAUUUCUCUGGGGAGAUGGUCUGUUCAUCUUUCUGGGCUUUGAGAGAUUCUCAAAGGCUUCUGUGACCCAGAGCUCUAUGAUCGUCAGUUAUACAGGGGUCUGGGAGGACAGCUCAUGAGACAAGCAGUGUGCGUUUUAAUAGAAAAGUUGUCACUUUCCAAAAUGCCCUUUAGAGGUGACAUCGUAAUUGAUGGUUGGCAGUGGCUGAUAAAUGACACUUUGAGACAUCUCCAUCUCAUCUCAAGUCACUCCCGACAGCAGAUCAAGGAUGCAGCAGUCUCGGCCCUGGCUGCUCUAUGCAGUGAAUAUUACGUGAAGGAGCCGGGGGAGGCAGAUCCCGCAAUUCAGGAGGAGCUGAUCACGCAGUACCUGGCUGAGCUUUGGAACCCCGAGGAGAUGACUCGCUGUGGCUUCUCGUUGGCCUUGGGCGCCCUUCCAGGCUUCCUUCUGAAAGGCCGGCUCCAGCAGGUUCUCACAGGUUUAAGAGCAGUUACCCACACUUCCCCCAAGGACGUAAGCUUUGCUGAGUCCAGGAGAGAUGGCUUGAAGGCCAUUGCUAGGAUUUGCCAGACUGUCGGUGUGAAAGCAGGAGCCCCGGACGAAGCUGUGUGCAGAGAGAACGUUUCCCAGAUUUACUGUGCGCUGCUGAGCUGCAUGGACGACUACACCACGGACAGCAGAGGGGAUGUGGGUGCCUGGGUCCGCAAGGCUGCCAUGACCAGUCUGAUGGAUCUGACACUUCUGCUGGCUCGGAGCCAGCCUGAGCUGAUCGAGGCCCAUAUCUGUGAGCGCAUCAUGUGCUGUGUGGCCCAGCAGGCCAGUGAGAAGAUUGACCGUUUCCGUGCUCACGCCGCCAGCGUGUUCCUGACACUCCUGCACUUUGACAGCCCUCCCAUCCCCCACGUGCCCCACCGAGGAGAACUGGAAAAGCUGUUUCCCAGGUCCGACGUGGCCUCCGUGAACUGGAAUGCACCUUCCCAGGCCUUCCCACGCAUCACCCAGCUCCUUGGGCUGCCCACCUACCGCUACCACGUCCUGCUGGGGCUGGUCGUGUCCCUGGGUGGCUUGACGGAGUCGACGGUGAGGAGGCAUCGGGCUGGCUGGGGCAGGAGGUGGUGGCUCUAGGGGUGCCUGGUGCUUCCCCGUCUCUUGGGAGCGUGUAUGGAGCUGGGCCUUUUUUUCCAUUGCUUUCUAUCUCUCUCGGGCAUAUUUGGUUAGGGGGUCAGGGGCCCAGUGUCUUCCUCAUGACCCAGGAGGCUUAGGGCCUGUGGGAUGGUUGAGUCUGAUGAAGGUGGAACAGCAUGUUGAGUGGAGGCCAGCAGCAGACUUUGAAGUGGGCCGGCGCCACUCUCUUCCUGUGGCCGCAGCCCUGGAGCUCCCAGCAUCCCCUCGGGGUUCAACCCUCCAGGA
RNAcentral lists this small RNA (1982 nucleotides) under Pongo abelii (Sumatran orangutan). Its description in RNAcentral is "retained intron". Lineage: Eukaryota; Metazoa; Chordata; Mammalia; Primates; Hominidae. The record is from RNAcentral.